AGCUGGCGGUGAGCGAGCUGGAGUCUGUGAAGGAGAAUAACUGCGCAUCGAACUGCCACCUCGAGGGAGACACUGGCAAAAAGGCUGGGGAAGAGCCCCUUGCUGGAGGAGACAAGCAGGAUCCCAACCUCAACAAUCCGGCAGACGAGGACCAUGCGUAUGCUUUGCGGAUGCUGCCCAAGACAGGUUGUGUGAUCCAGCCUGUGCCAAAACCAGCAGAAAAGACUGCUAUCGCGCCGUGUAUUAUGUCAACGCCAAUCCUCAGCACAGGGCCAGAGGAUCUGGAGCCACCAUUGAAAAGGAGGUGUCUCCGAAUUCGAAAUCAGAAUAAGUAAAGGAACGCUCGCCAACAGGGUACCUUGCAUGGAGAAAGGGAGCAGAGCAAACCACAUCGCUCCAUCGAACGACACCAGCUGGUCCGCUCACCACCCCUCUGGCUAAAAGUCAAGCAAAUAAAGCAGCUUCCCGUCACGAAGUCCCUCUGAGGAAGCCUCAGUCCCACGGGUGCCUUUGACCCAGAAGACAGCACAUCAUGGACCCACACAGUGUGCUCAGCAUUCCCGCGACCGCCCCUCUUCUCCUCCAAGGAACGCUUUCUCCUCUUGGUUUCUUGCUGUGGGGAUUUUUCACCCUGGUUUCAAAAACCACAUGGACCAACGUAGGUACUUUUUCCCUCCCUGACUUCAAAGUUCAGAUAUUUGAGACUGGACAGUGAUAUGGAUAUUUUUUUUCCUUUUUUUUUUUUUUUUUCUUUCGUAAAAACUGCUGUGGUUUUGCUGCUACACUAAGAAACGUGAUUUGCAUUGUAUGGUUUUGGACCUAUUCAAGUUUUGAUGGGGGAAAGGGGUAAUACUGGAGUAGCAACGCUUCAGAGUCAUCUCUGUCCUACCCACGAUGCACUUUUAAAUGAAGAGGUAGAAUAUUUUAUUGGCUAAUAUACUUUCCUUGUUAUUUUUACAAAGGCCACCUUUAUCCUUUCUAAUGCCAUAUUUUCAGUGUUACACUUUUAUGGCUUUUAAUUUUUGAUUUGACAGAUGUAAGAAGCAGCAUGAAUAGUUUAUACUGUGGUUUUUCAGAGACUGAAUGCCAAGAGAACUCAGUAAAUGUUUAUUCUUCUCAGCUUUCUCUUUAAAUUCCCCUAAAUAGCGCCCCAUUUGGGAACAGAGCAAGAGUGUUGAACUAAAGACCAAAAUUCCCUCAAGGUGUAAAAUAAUCUGAGGGGAAUAUUUGCUGGGCGUCACGAAAGACUCGGAUGAAAUUUCAACCCUGAUGGUUUUCAGUGAUCCAGGAAGGCAGUGAGACAAUCUCUCCAUAUGCAUAGCCCUUUCAUGAUAAUUAGAAUGGUAUGGACAAACCAAUGAAAACAAGGGUAAAGUGAGAAAGAUCCCUCAUGAUUCUGUUUCACUGUUUGCUUUCUCCUGUCAUGGUUAAGAGAAAUGUGCAAUUCGAUCCUCAAUCAGUGGGUAGAGGAUAACAGGGUAGAAUUUACUUGUGUGCACUUGUACAGUCGUAGCCAAGAGUCCAAAAGUACACUAGAGCAUGUUAUACUGGCACUGAAUUGGUAAGAGAGUCGUGGAGUAUCCCAUUCUGACAAAUACAAAAAAACAAAAAAAC
This is a non-coding RNA of Meleagris gallopavo (turkey), 1614 nucleotides long. NCBI's taxonomy places the organism in Eukaryota, Metazoa, Chordata, Aves, Galliformes, Phasianidae. The record is from RefSeq and is a predicted model, not a curated record.